Molecule: ribosomal RNA, 253 nt
Filed under: uncultured bacterium
Lineage: Bacteria
Description: partial 16S ribosomal RNA
Rfam family: Bacterial small subunit ribosomal RNA
Source: RNAcentral
UACAGAGGGGGCAAGCGUUAUUCGGAAUUAUUGGGCGUAAAGGGCGCGUAGGCGGCUUGGCAAGUCGAAGGUGAAAUCCCUCGUCUUAACCGAGGAACUGCCCUCCAAACUGCUUCGCUUGAGACCGGGAGAGGUGAGUGGAAUUCCCAGUGUAGCGGUGAAAUGCGUAGAUAUUGGGAGGAACACCAGUGGCGAAGGCGGCUCACUGGACCGGUACUGACGCUGAUGCGCGAAAGCGUGGGGAGCAAACGGG